Molecule: long non-coding RNA, 1762 nt
Organism: Drosophila ficusphila
Lineage: Eukaryota; Metazoa; Arthropoda; Insecta; Diptera; Drosophilidae
Exons: 3
Source: RefSeq, a predicted model, not a curated record
CAAAAACUAAUUUGAAAAUUUAAAAAAUGGCACACCGAAUAAUCCAAAAUAAAAUGUUAACAAUGGUGAAUCUGAUUUUUUAUGACACUCAAGUUAACUCUAACAAAAUGUGCUGACAUUUUGAAUGACACCAUAUUGCCGUUUAUUAUUCGCAUAUGCCAAAGGGAUCUGAAUACCCAGCGGACUGCCUUUCAACGCGUGAAUCACUGGUAAGGCCCCACAGAAGGAACAAUCACCCCGGGCCCGAGGAACAUUUUAAUUAUGGUUUUUAAUUUCACGGCCCAUAUGGCCGGUUGUCAGGUGAUUUCCCCUGAAUUAUGCACAGAACAGAACAUCUAUCAAGAACGCUUGGGUUAAGGCACCGCCGAGCGAGGAAUGCGCACCGAGCGAUGAAAUAUUCCACUCUAUUUCUGUUUUCGUCUUUCGGAAGGAAAUUAAGUGUUAAUCUCAUUUGAUUUGUCAUUUUCACAUGACGUGAUUUGGCGGCCUUCGCGUUCUCUUGCAAUGGAGGCGAUCGUGUUGGCCCGUGAUGUAUGGGAAACAAAUGUUUCUCUGACACAUUUAUUUGUUUAAUGAGACGUUGAAUAAUUAGUUGGAUAUGGCACAAGCGCGCAAGAAAACACAGUCGAGUACAAAGGCGAAAACACAGCUCGAAUAUAUGUGGAUUUCCUCAUCCUCACUCCCCCGCGCACAUCAGUUGGCAAAGCAAUUUAUAAAUUAUGAUUGACGACUCUGUGUGCGGAAUUGUGUGACCCAUCGCAGUUAGCCCCAUCCCCUCCUGGAUUCCUCCUCUGGUUCCCCGCCCCCUCUGAUCUAUCAUGAGUUCUUAAAAAUAUUACACAUGUUAUUAUUUGUUGAGCUGUGUUCUAUGGAAGUUUGUGUACCUGUUAAAAGUCGGAAAUUUGUGAAAAUGGAAAUAAACCCAAUACGAUUGCUGAUCUCCUCUGUGGUUUUUGGGCCCAAAUCCUCGGGCUCCCCUGCCUCGCCUGUUGACAUGUCACUAAUUUCAGAAUCGCUAAGCUGAUUUAGCUGGAAUUUUGAUUUUCGCUGUGGGCCAGCCCUUUCGCAAACGCCGGCGAUGAUUGAUGUGUUUGGCAUAUGAAAAGCCCGACCGAAAACAAAAACCCUUUCUCGAAACAUAUUCUAUGUCAUUUGUGUGCCGCCGGCGGUGGGGAGAAAUGUAUUAAUCAUCCUCGACGAAGUCAGGCGAGUCGAGGUGAUAAAUUAAGUUUGAAGACGAUUGGGAAACGUCUGUCGAGUAAUUAGUGAACUGAGCCGGGUCUGGAUGGGGUUCCUUUCGGGUCUGCGCAGGCGAUACGACGAUGAUGAUGAUGCCUAGGAGGCAGCGGCGGCCUAAGAGAGCAAUAAUGAUGUGCCUGACAGAAGAAAUGCAAGAGACCGAAAUUAAAUAUGAUAAAAGACCCACACAGUCUGUUGCCAUAAUUAAGUAUGACAUGCAAAAGUAUGAAUUAUCACUGGGAUGUCAAAGUGUCACAGCUGCCAUCAGGCGGAGAUGGAGAAUCUGGCGGAAGGCAUAAAUAAAGCCGGCGGAGAGAGUGCAAGAAGCCGACAACGAACGCCGCGUGUGGGAUUAACUGACUUGAAAAUUUAUGAUAUGAAAAAUUACUUUAGCCCCGACGCACACAAACACACACACACACACACACACACGCUCAGAAAAACUGCAAAGAUGCAGAGUGCUGGGUGAGAUACAGAUACAAAUACUGAGAUACAAAUACACAAAUAAAUACACAAAGAGAGA